UUUGUGUGGAUAUCCUGGUCAAUCAAUGUCUCCAGGUUCUGUCUAAGUGGUGUAGGGAGCAUAGUGCUCUGUGUGACAUGGUACAGUGCCUUCCCAGUGUUGAAGAUGAAAAUGAGCUUUUUGUGGGUCGGCACUGUGGAUUCUGCGGGACAGUGACAGAGAAGACGGAUCAUGUAUAAAACAUGU
This 186-nucleotide small nucleolar RNA is filed under the name Peromyscus maniculatus bairdii (prairie deer mouse). Its description in RNAcentral is "Small nucleolar RNA SNORA73 family (ENSPEMG00000004291.2)". Lineage: Eukaryota; Metazoa; Chordata; Mammalia; Rodentia; Cricetidae. The record is from RNAcentral.